Tympanuchus pallidicinctus (lesser prairie-chicken) is the source of this 473-nucleotide long non-coding RNA. RefSeq lists it as uncharacterized. The transcript has 5 exons. NCBI's taxonomy places the organism in Eukaryota, Metazoa, Chordata, Aves, Galliformes, Phasianidae. The record is from RefSeq and is a predicted model, not a curated record.
UAACCGUCGUGACGGCCGCUCCGGUUCCUCAGGCAGCGUGUGCUUCUUUCGGCUACGGAGGGAUCUGCAGAAAACAGAAGAGCUUGAGAGGCAGAGGAUAGACCAUGCUCAGCUCUAACUGUAAACAUACUGUACUGGGUACCAAAGGAACGAAGCCUUGCUAACUGAAGGCUAUGUCAUAAAUAGGAGAUGCUGAUUAGAGGUUGUGAACCUGGUCCUCGUCUGCAAAUCAUUCCUCUUAACUGCUGAAGGCACUGGGUGAAGGGAGUCUGCUUUAUCGACUGUUUGGUACAGAACACUGCUGGCUGAAUAUUGUAUAUGAACAAGCGAGACAGACUGAAAUCUCAGAGAGCUCUUUCCUCGCAAAUGUCUCUGCGUGGCUUACAGGACGGAAUACGAGAAUAACCCAGCACAAGACAGUGUGAAAGGAAACCUGAAUCUAUUUACCAUUAAGAAGCCCCGGACUGAACUGA